RNAcentral lists this ribosomal RNA (366 nucleotides) under uncultured bacterium. RNAcentral describes it as "bacterial SSU rRNA". It matches the Rfam family "Bacterial small subunit ribosomal RNA", at positions 29 to 417 of the family's 1533-position model. The record is from RNAcentral.
AACGAACGCUGGCGGCAGGCUUAACACAUGCAAGUCGAACGCUCGUAGCAAUACGGGAGUGGCGGACGGGUGAGUAACGCGUGGGAACGUGCCCUGAGGUACGGAAUAACUGAGGGAAACUUCAGCUAAUACCGUAUGAGCCCCGAGAGGGGGGAAAGAUUUAUCGCCUUGGGAGCGGCCCGCGUCGGAUUAGCUAGUUGGUGGGGUAACGGCCUACCAAGGCUUCGAUCCGUAGCUGGUCUGAGAGGAUGAUCCGCCACACUGGAACUGAGACACGGUCCAGACUCCUACGGGAGGCAGCAGUGGGGAAUUUUGGACAAUGGGGGCAACCCUGAUCCAGCCAUGCCGCGUGAGUGAAGAAGGCCU